UACAGAGGUCCCGAGCGUUGUUCGGAUUCACUGGGCGUAAAGGGUGCGUAGGUGGUUGUAAAAGUCUGAUGUGAAAUCUCCGGGCUCAACCCGGAAAUGGCAUUGGAUACUAUAUAGCUUGAGGUUUGGAGGGGGGACUGGAAUUCUCGGUGUAGCAGUGAAAUGCGUAGAUAUCGAGAGGAACACCAGUGGCGAAGGCGAGUCCCUGGACAACACCUGACACUGAGGCACGAAAGCUAGGGGAG
RNAcentral lists this ribosomal RNA (245 nucleotides) under uncultured bacterium. RNAcentral's name for it is "partial 16S ribosomal RNA". It matches the Rfam family "Bacterial small subunit ribosomal RNA", at positions 524 to 768 of the family's 1533-position model. The record is from RNAcentral.